This is a long non-coding RNA of Bombyx mori (domestic silkworm), 22093 nucleotides long. RefSeq lists it as uncharacterized. The transcript is spliced from 9 exons. Lineage: Eukaryota; Metazoa; Arthropoda; Insecta; Lepidoptera; Bombycidae. The record is from RefSeq and is a predicted model, not a curated record.
GUAUGUGCUGUUCUGGUGGAAAGGUUAAAAUUCCAUUACUUGGCGAGCCAGAGGAACCUCUUAAAUCUUUACUUUUAUACGACAGUAACGAAUCGCGCCGGUUUUUAAGCAGGAUUAGAAAGUAUAAUUCUUGCUUUCAGAUGACGUCAUUUGGUGUAGAUAAGGAGGUCGUAAUGCCUGGAUUUUCACCUACUUUUACCAUCCAAGGACAGGUGUAUCACAGGAUUGGUUCCUUACUUCCCGCAAAUAAUGAACAACCAAAGCUUUUGCAACUUUAUUUCAUGGGCGAUGAAAAAAACGAAGCUGAUCGCAGGUGUCAAAAUAUACAAGGAAUCGAAAGGGAUACUGUUUUAAAAAUCCAGAGAAUGUUGCAUGAACAUAAUCGCCUUAUCAAUACUUUCAAAACAGCACUAGAAAGAAUGCCGGGAGAGGAUUAUAGGUUGGUGAUGCACCCCGAUCGCACACCAAGUGGGGAACAUGAAAGGCGGUAUAAUGCACCGUUAAUAAAUGAAGUCGCAGCCUUGGUUACAGGCGAACAGUUUGCUUUCCGUGAUAUAGUUUUACAGGCCCGAGAUGACACAUUAACCAGGGUGCCUGAUACUCAUAAAUUUUAUGAUGCGUUGCAAUAUCCGAUCAUAUUUAGUAAGGGACAAGAGGGGUACCACUUUCAAGUUCCUCAAAUUAAUCCUGUAACAGGUCUUCCCUUGCAUAACAAAAAGGUUUCAUGCAUGGAUUUUUAUGCCUACAACAUGAUGAUACGAGAAAACAACUUUAACAUUGUACAAAGAUGCAAGCAACUGGCCAAUCAGUCUUACGUUGACAUGUACGUUAAAGUUGAAAGCGAGAGGUUACGGUACAUAUCAUUAAAUCAAACUAAACUAAGAGCAGAGAAUUACAUCCAUCUUCAAGACGCUGUGGCAAAUGACGCUAAUUUAAAUCCAAAUAACUUAGGUCGUAUGGUCAUUUUACCAUCUUCAUUUGUAAAUAGCCCGCGGUACUUACACGAAUAUACUCAGGACGCGUUUGUUUAUGUGCGUACACAUGGUCGCCCUGACUUAUUCGUCACCUUUACUUGCAACCCAGCCUGGCCCGAAAUAGUCAAUCAGUUGAUGCCGGGGCAAAGCGCAAUAGAUAGACAUGAUGUAGUCGCAAGAGUUUUGAGACUAAAAGUUAAAAAACUAAUGGAUGUGAUUAAUAAAGGCCGAGUGUUCAGAGAAGCGCGCUGCUUUAUGUACUCUGUCGAAUGGCAGAAACGUGGACUGCCACAUGUCCAUAUAUUAUUGUGGUUAAAAGAUAAGUUACGACCCGAUCAAAUAGAUAACAUAAUCAGCGCUGAAAUACCGGAUCCUAACAUUGACAAGACUCUCCAUGACAUUAUUGUAAAAAAUAUGAUUCACGGUCCAUGCGGACCCGAAAAUCCACAGUGCCACUGCAUGAAAGACGGAAAAUGCACAAAAAAAUUUCCUCGCAAGUUAGUGAAAGAGACCGUUCACAACGACCACGGAUACCCGCAGUAUCGUAGAAGAGCGCCAGCAGACGGAGGUCGAACAGCAACCGUGAAGCUCCGAAAUGGUAGCUACGUUACAGUUGAUAAUAGUUGGGUAGUCCCCUAUUCACCAAUUUUAUCAAAAAUGUUUAACGCCCACAUAAAUGUUGAGGCAUGCAGUUCAGUACGCGCCAUCAAAUAUAUUUGCAAAUAUAUAAACAAGGGUAGUGAUCAAGCUAUUUUCAAUUUUAGAAAUACUGAUCUUGCGAAUCCCGUAGAUGAGGUACAAACUUAUCAGUCUGGUCGGUAUGUCAGCAGCAACGAAGCCGUGUGGCGUCUGUUAGCAUUUCCGUUGCACGAAAGGCAUCCCACCGUGACACAUCUCAGCGUGCAUUUAGAAAAUGGUGAACGCGUUUAUUUUAAUGAACACAAUUUCCACGAACGAAUAACUACUCCGCCAAAAACCACACUCACUGCUUUUUUUGAUCUUUGUAUCAGAGAUGAGUUUGCAAAAACUCUUCUUUAUGUCGAGGUGCCGAGGUAUUAUACUUGGGAUGCAAGUAGGAAAACUUGGAAACGCCGCAUUCAAGGUACUUCAGUUCACGAUUGGCCUGGCGUCAAAUCUGGAGAUGCUUUAGGACGAGUUUAUACAGUUCAUGUUAGUAACAUGGAAUGUUUUUGUCUACGCAUGCUUUUACACCAUGUGCGCGGACCUACCUCUUUCAAUGAUCUAAAAAAAUACAACACACAAGAUUAUCCUACAUUUCGAGAGGCAUGUGAGGCAAGAGGAUUACUGGAGAAUGACAACCAUUGGGAUGUGACACUGGAAGAAGCUGCUCAAUGUAGAUCAGCAGGCAAGAUGAGAGAGCUAUUUGCUGUAUUAGUAGCGACAUGUGGUCUUUCAAAUUCUCAACAAUUGUGGGAUAAAUACAAAAAUGAUAUGACCGACGAUAUAUUGCACAGAUUACAAGAGCAAAAUCCCAAUGUCACGUACAGUGAUUUAAUUUACAAUGAGGGUCUGACAAAAAUUGAAAACCAGGUUAAAACAAUUUCUAGAAAGGAUUUAUCAGAUUAUGGAAUGAUCAGACCACAGAGAACCGAGGAAAUCAGUAGCGAUUUAAUACGGGAACUAGAUUACGAUACUGCUUCCUUACAACAACAAUUGACAGAGUCUGUUCCACGUUUGAUCCCAGAACAAAGGUUAGUAUUUGACAAUGUUUUCAAAAAAAUCGAAGAUGGCGAAGGUGGUUUGUUAUUUUUGGAUGCUCCCGGAGGCACGGGAAAAACCUUUCUUUUAAACUUGCUUUUAGCGCAAAUCCGAAAAGAUAAAGGAAUUGCUGUAGCAGUUGCCUCUUCCGGAAUAGCCGCCACUCUGCUCAAUGGUGGUCGAACGGCACAUUCGGUGCUUAAACUGUCAUUAAACUUAGCCCAUGAAGAAAUGCCAGUCUGUAAUAUAAGUAAAAACAGCGAGCGUGGACGUAUGUUGCAGCAAUGUAAAUUAUUAGUUUGGGAUGAGUGUACUAUGUCCCAUAAAAGAGCAAUUGAAGCUCUAGAUCGGACUUUGAAAGACAUCAAGAGUAAUCCAAAUAUCAUGGGGGGGGAUGGUGGUACUUUUAGCGGGCGAUUUUAGACAGACUUUGCCGGUUAUCACUAAAGGCACCCGUGCAGAUGAAAUAAAUGCGUGUUUAAAAGCGUCAACGUUAUGGGUGCACGUAAAAACGUUUAGUCUGUCUACAAAUAUGAGAGUGCAACUACACAAUGAUGUACAAUCUGGACAAUAUGCUGCUGCUCUUCUUAAAAUUGGAGAAGAUCGUAUGGCAAAGGAUGGUAAUGGCAUGAUUACAUUGGAUCGUGAAUUCUGUAAUGUUGUGCAUAAUCCAGAUGAUCUAUUUAACUUCGUCUAUAGCGAACUGCUAACUAACAUGAGGAAUAGGACUGGUUAUGUGAAAGAGCAAUUUUAGCGCCGACGAAUGAAAUGGUGGGACAGAUAAACGAGCAAAUUAUGUCACGCGUGGAAGGUGAUAUUGUUGAGUUUCUCUCUGUAGACACUGUAAUGGAUACUGAACAAGUAACAUCAUACCCUGUAGAAUUUCUUAAUUCUUUAGAACUGUCGGGAGUACCUUCACACAAACUGAGGCUGAAAGUAGGCGUUCCUGUCCUUUUAAUGCGGAAUUUAGAUGCACCAAGACUGUGUAAUGGCACACGGUUGCAAGUGACACACCUCGGUCGCAAUAUUGUAAAAGCAAUCAUUAUGACUGGAAUGGCAAAAGGAGAGAACGUUUUAAUCCCCCGUAUACCCAUAAUUCCGACAGAUUUGCCAUUCCAGUUUAAGAGAUUACAGUUUCCGCUGAAAAUCGCAUUCGCUAUGACGAUAAAUAAAGCUCAGGGGCAAACAUUAAAAGUAGCCGGCAUUAAUUUAGAAAAGAGUUGUUUUUCUCACGGACAAUUAUACGUGGCUUGCUCACGUGUUUCAAGUCCACAGAAUCUCCAUGUGUUGGCCAGAGAGGGAAAAACAAAGAACAUAGUUUACAAAAAUGUACUACAGUAAUAAGGCCUCUUAUUUUUAGCUUCCUACAUUAUUAUACUACUUACAUUAAGUUAGUACUUCCUACGCAGACGAUGUUACGGAUGUCACACUGUCUAACAUCGGGGGUUGGCAGGUAGGUAGUUAGUAGUAUUUUAAACCGAUUUACAUUAUUUACUUUUUAUAUUUACUAAGGAAACAUUCGGAGCUAUCCAUUAUGUAGCUUAGGUUGCUUUUGAACAAAUUUUGAUGUGAAGUUGAGGACUGGAACACGAUAGUGGGACAUUGUUGCAGGGAGACUUAUAGCCGGGAGAAAACAAAAAAACUUAUGCGGACGAAGUCGCGGGUAAAAGCUAGUAGUGUAAAUAAAGAAGUUAAUAGGGCCAUUAGAAAUUUGAAUAAUGGAUUGUCUCAAAUUCAAUGUUUUUACAAUAGCUUAAAUUUAAAUAUAAGUGUAAAUAAAAAUGGGGCAAUGUUAUACAGUAAAAAGGUUGUCAACCUAAAUGAGAUAUCACUUAUACUAUACAACAAUAGUCCAUUGUCUUUGUUGUUACAUAAAAAAAUCUUGGGUGUUUGGUUAGAUACAAGACUGACAUUUGAAACACACAUUAAUAACACUAUUGGAAAUGCCUGCAAAGGACUAAACAUUCUGCGAUCUCUGGCUGGAGUUCAUUGGGGUUCUGACCCUAAGGUUUUGUCUCUGUUAUAUAAAAGCAUUGUCAGGAAUAAUUUUGAUUAUAGUUCAUUAGCUUACAUGAAUGCAAAUCUUAGAUAUCUACGCAAACUUGAUGUAAUCUAAAACAAAGCACUAAGAAUUAUUACAGGAGCAAUGUGCUCAACGCCAAUUAAUGCCAUGGAAUCUGAAGCAUGCAUUAUGCCAUUAAAAUUUAGGCAUCUUCAGAUCGCACAGAGAUUUUGUCUGAAGCUAUUGGCCACUGACCAUGUUUUUGUUAUUGACAGGAUAAUACCUAAAGAUUUGCCUAUUAAUUUUAUGGGCAUUUAUAAUAUCAAUAUGAGCAGUUUUAUGUCUGAUCAUUUACCAGAGACAAUACCGUCUUUACCAUAAGGGCACACAGGGCCCAUGCUCAGGGCCCCCAUUCUCAGGGGGCCCCGAAAGACCGACAAUUUCUCUCACACGUUUAUUCUCAAAACAUUUUUGUCGGGCACAUUACACCUUUUUCACAAAUCAGUAAUCAGAAGGUAUUUACAAGGCAUAUACUAUGCCUAUAAUAGAAGAUUUUACUCAACAGAAAUCCCAAAAGAAACCGUUAUUGAAAUCGUAACCAAAAAAACCAGCAGCAUUCUAAUAUAAUUAAUGACAUAUUAUAUUCUAUUUGAUUACCUAUAAUAAAUGGUCUUAAUCAGUAAAAAAAUGUUAUUAUAAUUCGCUUUUUUUACUUUCCAAAAGGGCCUCAAAUUCUCAUGUGCCCAAGGGCCCCAUCCUAGUUUAAGACGUCCCUGACCAGAGAUGCUCCAAAUUUCUCUUAGCAUUAAAAAUACAUUAAAAAAUAUAUACUCAUCUAACCUUUUGCCUAUAUAUGAAAUCAACAAUUAUACCACUGUAAAUAUGGCUGUAGAAACAGAUUGCCAAAAAAUUGGGAUUAAAGUGUAUUUUUGGAGUAUAUUAACAAUUUACCUGACAUAAAUAUUUAUAAAUUAUAUACAGAUGGAUCAAAAUUUCGAAGUAGAGUAGCUUCAGCAUAUUAUGAUCCACAACGGAAGAUGAUUCAAGAUCCACGACAAGAUAGAUCUAGCUAGAUGAUGCUUCAAGCUAAACAGUCACUGCAGUAUUUUUACUGCUGAAUGCUACGCUAUCUAUACAGCACUUAGCAAUAAUGCAAAAUGCAAAUAAUUCUGCCUUUUUAAUUUUAACUAAUAGCAAAAGUUCAUUGUUAGCACUAGAAAGUCAUCCUUUUAGAUUUAAUAUGAACUAUAUUAUUUAUAGAAUAAAAGAAAUAUUGGCAAAAUUAAAUGAAAGAGGAAAGAAUGUCCAAUUUAAAUGGGUACCUGCUCAUUGUGGUAUUUUUGGCAAUGAAGCUGUAGACUGUACAGUACGAGGUACAUGUGAUGAAGACCACACUAAUGUAACAAAAGUAGCGUUUACUGACUUUCAGCAGAAAAUAUCGGAAAGCGCUAUAACCCUGUGGUAUGAACACUGGAAGUCUAUAAGUCAAGAAAAAGGGAAAUGGUAUACAAAGAUACAGAAUACCCCGUCACAUGUACCUUGGUAUAACAUAUUUAAAGAAGCUAAUUCCAGACAAUUCAUUACCACCAUUAUUUAGGACUAAGAUUCGGUCAUUUUUAAUUUUUUAAGGGAUUUUAUGACCUGGUAACUAAGACCUUUAGGUCAAGUCUUAUUUUAAUUUUAAUGAUACGUAACUUUUAUAAAUGAAAAUGAUAUUAUGAAAUGAAAUGAAGUUGAUUAUUAUGAAACAUGGCAUGAAGUGAAAUUAAAUGACAUGAGAUGAGAUGAUAUGGGAUGAAAUAUAAUCGCAGUAAAAUUGUGGUCAUUUACUGAGAUUAGAUUCGGUCAUUGCCCAUUGCAGACAUAGAUUAUACACAUAAUAUGAUUGCAGAAUUCCUGCUCAUUUUUUUUUUUCCUUUUUGGAGCCAAUACCAGGUGUUAUUUGCCACUUUCAAAAUAAAGGUUAAGAAGCAAAAAGCAAAUCAGAAAAUAUAAGUUAGAUAAGGUUUAGGCAGGAAAAUUGGAUUAGGAUUAAUAUAAUUAGGAAGAAUAAAUAAUAUAUAUAAUUAUAAUUUCAGGUUAAAACUGUUGAGGAAUAAGAUAAUAAUUUUAUAAAUAACUGGGUCUACUAUAAGUAAUAAAUAAGGUACAGAUAUAGGGAAAGGAAUACUAGGUGAUGAUAAAGAACUAUAAAGAAGUGAAUGAUCAAAAAGGGGACAUGAAAGAUUAAUGUGAUUUAAGUCGCCAAUGUCCGCACCACAUUCACACUUAUUGCUAUCCAGCACUCCGAUUGUCGCUAGAUGUGCCGGACUACAUGUGUGGCCUAAUCUCAUCCGUGUCAAACUGGAAGUCUCGUGGCGUCUAAAAUUAUAUUUGUAGAACCAUGCUUUGGAAGGAAUGGUUGGUUGUACCCUUCGGUAAUAUUUCGCUUUAUCGCCAUUAUACCACUGUGCACUCCAAGCAUUAUUCAAAUAUGUUUUAGGGAGGCUAACUAAAUCAUGACUAUAAUUUUUGAAACAAUAGAUAUCACCACAAUUACUUAAUAGCCUCGUUUGCAAUUCCAUCAACUAUUUCCUUUAAUUCCGCAAUGGCUAGGUAUCCAUACAAAUGAUAUUGUAAAAUUUUGAUCCAUACAUCUCAUUAACAGGUUUCUGCAGUCUAAGAGAAUUGGGUAGAUCGAUUUAAAUCUCUUUAAAGGAAAUUUUGCAAGAGCCUGUAAAGCACUCUUUGAAUCGGGAUUUGAAAACGAAUUUAUCAGAUAAAUGUUGACGUCUCAAAUGAAAAGGAGGAUCAACACAUUCUACCUGUAAUGCUGUAACAGGACUAGAUUUCAUUGCUCCAGUGAUAAUUCUGAGUGCUUUAGACUGUAUAGAGUCUAGUUUUUUGAAAGCAUUCACAUCCCCUGGUUGAAGUAAAAAAGUACCAUAAUCUAAAACUGAUCUUACUAUGGCAUUAUAUAAAAGUUUUAAAUUGAAUGGGUGGGCACCCCACCAAACACCGGCAAGAGAACAUGAGAGAGCUAUGGGUCUGUACGACAAUACAUCUGAUGAAGAUUUACCAGGUUUGAGAAUGGGUAAAAUAAUUUGUUUUUUCCAUGACAUGAUGAUGAUAACACAUGUAAUGAACAUAGAAUUUAUAAGGUUUAGGUAAUAUGUGAGACUAGAAUCAUUCAAAUGGGCAAAGAAAGAAUAAGAAAUCUUAUCAUCACCUGGAGCAGAGUCCUUAAGAUUCGAGAUUACCCCCUUCAGUUCAUUAAAUGAAAAGGGUAAAUCAAAAUCUGAAACUGGAUCUGAGCAUGAGAAAGGAAGGACAGACGGGAUAAGAACUAAACAUUCUUCUGGAACAUAAGGGGGAGCUAAUUUAUCAAGAAACUUGUCAGCCAGAUCAUAAGGCAAGUCUUUGACUGUAUUUUCUUUAUAUGCAGAUCUAAAUCUUCUUAUUUGGUUCCAUACUUCAGAAGGUGAGAUAUUAGGACAAAUCGAAGCACAAUUUUUUUUAAAACCUUCUCGUUUCUUUUUUAAUAAAAGAUUCCGAGUACUAUUGAUGCUUUCUGUUAGAAUAUCAAAAUUUUCUGUAAUAGUUUCUUCUAAAUAUAAUAACUCGGCUGCUUUUCUCUCCUUCACAGCCUAAGUGCACUCCCUGUCCCACCAAGGAGGAGAAGGAAUAAAAAUACCAGAAGGGCUUUUAGAAGGGAAAACUUCAUCAGCUGUUUCUAUAAAAGCAGAAGCUAAAAUUUUUGCUUGUGCAUCGGAAUCUAAGUUAUUAAUAUUUUCACAGUUGGCAAGUUUAAUAUCCAAACGCGAUUGAAACGUUUUCCAAUCCUCAUCUGUUACUUGAGAUAGAUUGUACUUUAUUGUAGACUUAUGUUUAGAAUGAUCCUUAAUUACUAUGUUAUUGUGUGAAAAUGAAAUAAUAAUAGGAUAGUGGUCACUUCCAUAACUUAAUUUUAAUGUUUCCGAGGUCAAAGACGGCACCAGAGAUGGGGAGGAAAUAGAUAUAUCAGGAGCACUAACAAUUUGAUCAGGACCAGUUCUACGGGUUGGACUUCCAGAAUUUAAAAUACACAAAUUCUGUUCAUUAACAAAAUCAAGAAUUAUAUCUCCAAAUUCAUUAGAUAUUGAGCUUCCCCAUGUCUGAUGGUGAGCAUUAAAAUCACCCAUUAUUAUGAUUGGUCUAGGAAGAUUUAAAAUAAUAGUUAUAAACUCUUUGUAAAUCUCUACAGAAGGGUGGGGAAUAUAUACACUAACUAUACAUAUAUUAUUUACAAUGACCGCAAUAAUGGAUAAACCAAAACUAUGAUCAGGUAUAUCUACAAGUUUAAAACUAAGAACACUAUUUACAAGAAGAGCAACACCACUGUACCCGUCAAUACGAUCUUCACGGAUACAGGUAUAUCCUUUGAUUUUGAAAGGAUAUAUACUUUUCAACCAUGUUUCCUGUAAAGAAACUAUGAUUGGAGAGUGUUUAUUUAUUAAGUGAAUGAGAUCAGACUGUUUACUUAGAAUACUUCGACAGUUCCACUGAAUUAUCUUUUUCAGCCACAGGAGAUUCAGAAUUUUCAUUAAAUUUUAAAGCACAGCCAUUAGAAGGAGAUGGAGCAUCGUAAUCUUUUGUAAGAUUUCUAUGGGCCCUUUGAUCAAAACCUUUAUCACCUUUAAAGGGAGAUCGAGGUUUCAUAAAAACUGUUUUUUUAUAUGACAAUGGACUUUUACUGGCAAUUACUGGGCUGGGGGCAAUAGAUUCAUGAAACGUUGAAUGAUUCUUACGAUCCGAUGGAAUUGAAGAAGGAACAUCAGCAUACGAUUUAUACACUGGAGGAUGAAGUUUACAUGCUUCCAAGUAUGACACACAACUGUUCGCCAUUGUCUGCUUUAUGGCCCUUUGUCUUUCAAAUUCUGGACAUUUCUUAUUUAUAGCAAAGUGUAAGCCGUUACAAAGACAACAGGAAACAUGUUCCUCCUCUACAUUACAAGAAUCUCCUGUAUGAUCUUGACCACAUUUAAAACAACGCGGUUUCGAUCUACACUGAGCUCUAACAUGACCGAAUCUACAGCAAUUAAAACAUUGAACUGUAGGAUAAAUGUACAAAUCAACUGGUAAUGAUGUAAAACACAUUUAUACUCUUUUAGGUAAAACCUGUCCAUCAAAUGUUAUUACCACGGAUUCCGUGUCAAUAAAAGUUUUAUUAUCAUUUACAGUGCUUUUCUUCUUAAUCUCCUAAUUUUUAGUAUUUUUCCGCAACCUAACGGAACACUGAUGUUAUUAAUUAUUUCUUCUUCAGACCAUUCUGUAGGAAUAUUUCUAACGAUACCCAUGCGAGUAACUUGAAAGGUAGGAAUGAAUGCUUUAUAUUUAUUCUUCUCUAAAAUAUCUAAAUCUAUGUUAGCCGAAUUAAAAUUUUCAAAUGCUAGUGAUAGCCUGUUUCUACCAAUUCUCUUAAGACUGCCAUUAACAAUAUUUUUAAUAGAAUAUUUUUUCAAAAACUUGCCAAAAGAAAUUGGGUGCAAAAUGGUAUUGUCAUUAUAUGCCUGUAUUUGUUUUUGAAUAUGAAUGACGUAAGGAGCAGCAUCCGAGUCACAAUAUUUAUGUCUUCCUAUAAAUCUAGCAGUGGCAUCAUUACUUUCCAUUUGAGUCGGAUGAUUAGGAAAUAUAUUAGUAGACACUGGAUCAUGAACAGAGCUAUUAAUCUUUAAGGCUUUAAUAGGACCACUUUCCUCACAUUGGCACUGGCAGAUGGUGUUGCCUUUCGAGUCACAUUUGCUCCUUUUCCUAUUGCAGUGUCUACAAAUUCUGCGAGAUGCACGUUUGCGAUUUACAGAUGUUUGAUGUCCGGAGUAAUCGGUAUCUACAGUAGAAUCGUCAUGUUCGACAACAACAUUAUGCGCCACUGCGGGCACUGACGACACAUUCGUCAUUUGCUUGUAAAAUAUUAAAACUAUUAGAAGCAAGAGUCCCCCCGGGAUCUCCCGGGGGGUCCAUUUUACGAAACAAGGUCAAAAAGACUUACCCGACGACGAAAUUAAAUACACUAAAUAAAGAAAACUUAAAUAUAUAUAAAAAUAUGUACAAACUUAUCCUAAUCCAACUAUACGAUAACUAAAAAAAAAUUUAAAUAAAAAACAUGACUGCCAAAUUUUAUGCUUCCCGCGCUUUUUUUCAAUCUCCUGCUCAUUUGUUUUUAAAGUUUAAACGUUUAGCAACGGACAAAAACUGUCAAUUUCGUGUCAAUGAGGUCGCUGAUCUGAAACCAUAGACCUAUAUAGUAGAAACUUAAUGAUAUUAAAUGUCAUAAAUUUAUGUAAUAUAAAUAGAUUAAUUUUAGCGUUUGAGCUGGACGAUGCUUAUAAGGGUGACUCGCCUUUACAAACAGGCGUAAGGAUGGACUUAGAAGUAAUUUUAUCAAACCCAUUGCAUUUCAAACCAAUUUAUAGAUAUAUUGUUAACACAAUAGGAAAUGUUUAAAAACAAACGAAUAAUGUUAAGCACCAAUUGAAAAUACUUCAAUUUGAUGCUGUUUUGUUUAUAACCACUUGUAAAUCUACUGCCUGCGUGAAAAUUAAUUUAAGAUAGGCUAUAAGGUCUUGUAACCAUUGGGCUUAAAAAAAGUCAUUUCCAAAUCUCUUACCAUAGAUUAUACACUUCUCUUACAUGCGAAUGGAUUCAAAAAAAAAUUAAGGUUUAUAAUUGAGCUUACUGAAAAUACUUCUCUCUAAUGAGAUGAAUAAUAUAGUUGGAUUUAGCAUCAUAUUUAGGAUUAUCCAAAGCUUUCAUGACACCCACACUAUCUGUGACUAUGAUCCAUUUAUCAUAAUUAUGUAGCUGAAUAUAAUCAAGUACAGCCAAAAUCGCUGAAGAUUCUGCUGUAAAAAUGCUAGCAGCUCUAGUUUUCAGAUCUAUUGUUUCCAGAAGUUGGUGAGCAAGAAAUGAGGAAGCAUUAUACUCUGAAGCAUACUGUAACUUGGCGACUAGAGAAUGAUUAGUUAAAGAAGAAAGUUUCAGAAGGAAUUUAUGAGAAGAAAUUUAAAACAGAGCAGUAAAGGAGGUAAAUGCAUAGGAUAUAAGAUUGAAGAGAGUAUGUGUAAAUUUACAUUGUUAAAACGACCAACUAUAUCUAAAUCAAGAAACAAAUGACUUAGGCAGACUCCGGGGCAAAACGGCCACGAUCGAAACCAAAUUGAUUAGUAGAUGUGAAAUUCGAAGAACAAAAGUGAGGAAGAUCAUAUUCUACAGCAUCAGUGGGAAAAUGAUAAUUGCCAAGAGGUCAUUCACAGACCUGCCAUUCGCAAGAAAGGACCAAGGAUGAUGAGACCAUAGGUCAAGACCAUUUGGCCUCCAACGAUUAGAGCCUUUUGUAGUUGGAUUUCUGUCAUUCAAGAGCACUAAGUUAUUCUCCUCCAUAACAUCAAUGUCUCUGGCAUGAGAAUCAAUACUACCACAACCCCACAUCGUAUGGUGUGCAUUAAAGUCACCAGCUACUAUCAUUGGACUAGCGAGCUGCUCGUGCUCAAGACGUCGGCGCAGGGCGAGAGCUUCUACGGCGGCCUUUUGAGCUUUAAUUGUGGACGACGAACGUGAUGAUUUUGACUUAGACGUCUCACUGGGACAACGCUGUCUACAUGAGAAGUACUAGGUUGCAUAAUAUUAUCUUGCACACCAGUACUAGUCGCAGGAUUUGUCGGAAUGAUUUUACUUUUAAUGCGGAUGAUCAUUAAGUGAGAAAUAAAAAUUAAAUAAAGCAGUGAAAAUGAAAACAAAUACUACGAAAUGAAUGAAUAGCUAAAGUUACGUAAUGAAAAAUAGGUACGCUGGAAAAUUAUCCCGCUCGAAGGACCUAAAUGAAACGAACAAACCAAAUUAAUCUCUGCAAAUGAUAAAACAAAUGAUUACAAGUUGAAGUAUGAUUAUUUUUUAAUAAAAAAUAGAAAAUCAAGCAAACAGAAAGAAAUAGGUAAAAUGAACAGACAACGUAAAAAAAGAGAAUAAAAAACUACAUCAACUAUCAAAAUAGCAAAGGGGUCCGCAACAAACUAAUUAUGUAAUUAUUUUGAAACACCAUAUUGUUGACCCCUUUUGUACGCGUCCGCCUAAUCCUCUUUUUUUUAAACUUGAUUUAAAUUAAUUAUCUGGCACUGUCGCCGAAUCAGCAUUAGAGCCAAUUUUGUAAACAAGAAGUCUGACAUUUGCUGACGAUGAUUAAUGCAUAACCACUCUGUAUUACAAUUUGAAUAAAAUAUAGUAAUUGUCCACUGGCAAAUAUUGUUAUUAUGUAGGUUAGGUAUACAAAACUGUUUAAAAAUUGUAAACGCAAUGUGUACAGUUUGACACAACUGCAAUGAUGGAUAUGAUAUGUCAAACAUUUUUUUAUCUUGCCACCACUCCCUUAAUUUAAUUAAAUCAUAUAUUUUAUUUUCCUCUGGAUCUGCAACCGUCAAAGUUUCUCUACAGAACUGCCAUUUUUUUGAAUAAGCUAAAUAUUCACUUAUAUAGACCACUGGUUGAUUUGAAAUUUUUGCUAGUCAUACUAUUUCAUUAUAUUCUUCUUCUUAAGGUAUACUGAGAACUGGGUUGUCUUCCUCAUUUUCAUUUUCUGUGGAAACUUGACUAGAAAACUCAUUAAUAUGUUGACCUUGAUCAUCUUCAUUUUCAAACCCGAAAACUAAAGAAAAUCUGUCAUGAGUUUCUUUUUGUCCUCUUCACAAUUGGAGUUUUUCUUGUGAGGGGCGGUAUGUCCUGAUAUUAUAGAGGUUUUCAUAGCAGCUAUAAAUGUAGAACACGUCGGAUGCUUGUUUGUUUGACCAUGCUGUCUUUUUAAAACAAAUAAAUUUUCUAACGCAUCCUGGUUUAACUGCCGUAGAUUCAAAUAUUUAUAUCCUAAACCCUGAACUUCCAGUCAAAUAUCACGCAGCGAUUAUAAUGAUAUGAUGUAACCUUGAACACAUUUUACAUUUUUUGCUACCACACCAUGUUUUCCCGUAUACCUUUUUUCACGUCAGCGUCUCCUGAUGGUCUAUUUGUACAAUCAAAAAGUUUAUUGAAUUUUUCAAUCAACAAACCAGUCUGUAUGAUUUCAUCUGAUCAGUGAAUAUUUUCCACAUUUGUGGCCAUUAAUUUAAGAACAGCAGCCACUGUUUGGCUAAAUAUUUGUACGGCAUAUUUAACUUUCAUCUUAGCUCUGUACUUUGGUUGUACUUGAGUUGAUUUGAGUUUGCUAAGAUAUAAAAAAAAUCUAUUUCGUUCCUCUAUCUCAACUAAAUGGCUUCAUUGAUCUUUCAAUUCUUCCAUUUUCAGAAGUUCUUGUUUUAAAAAGUUAUUUCUCAGUGAUUUUAAUAAAUGUGGAAUAUCACAAAUUAUAGAAUUUUUCUUAUUUUCAAAUUCGAAAUAAUUAUGUCCACCAUUGUUUCACUCCUUUAACAAUCUUAACGCUCCCAUAUUGGUGGCCCUUGAUCGUAUAUUGUUGAUAAAACUUGAAAUCCCGUGUUAUUAAUUUCUUUAAUGAAAUCUUUUAUUAAAACUGCUAUAUUUUCUGAAGAUAAUGUGCCUCUUACGAGAUAGAAUGCCAGCGGUUGUUUAAUUUUUCUCCCAAUACCUUGUAACAUGAAGACUAAGGCAUGGUUUGCUAGCUCAUUUUUCUUCUCAUAUCCAUAAUCGAUAAACCCUUACACUUUAUCUGUGGCUUCACUAUAAGUUAAUCUUUUUUUAACACUAUUUCGUCAAAGACUAGCGAGCAUAAUUUUGCUUUUAUUUAAAAAAAAAUUGAAGCUAGAUUUUUCAGGUGGUCAAGUACAGCUGUAUUUAAACCUGGCUCAACAGGUAUUUUUUUCAUUAAUUUUUGCAAUGUUUUGAUACUCGGAAAUGGUGCGAGAUAACGCAGAUAUCUGUAAGCAUUUGGUGAACGCUUGAAGAUGGCUAAUGCUGAUAUUUUAUCUUUAGUAGUCCAGCGUUUACCUUGUUACUUACGCUUUUGAUUUUUCAACGCGGACGUGACAAUUUCUUUCAGAAAUUCUGAUGAUAAAUUGUCCAUUAGUUUCGCAUUCUUUUGGGGGAACUAUUGUUCUCACCUCAGCGGUACAAUCGAUAAAAUAACUGCUUUGACAUAAAUACUUUUCAUGGUUGCCUGGAAGGAAUCGCUCUAAGCGACAAGGCCGCCCAUUGUUGUACACAUUUGUUUUAAGGUUUUUGUUCAAACUUGCGUCUAUUUUAAAAGUUUGAGUGGCAGACGAUUUCAGUUGUAACAUUACCUUACAACUGCCUGUCCAAGUUUGAAAGCACGUAGUGAAAUUUUGUUAAAUCGUCAGUUAUUUUUGCCAUGUUAAAUUAACCUUCUAUUUGACAAAACCGUAUUGAUGGUCUUUCGACCAGAAAGGCGGUAUUCUUACACCAACCCGAAAAAGUUCCGCUGGAUUACCAGAUGGAUCAACAGAAACAGGCACUUCAUUUUCGAUAAUUUUUUCGUGGGGUAGUUUGCGAAAAAGUUGUCACUAUCCUCACUGCUCACUUUGCUAUAAUGUUCUUCUCGGGGUCACUAGUUAUGGGGUCUGCUGCGUGAGUUUUGGUUCAGACAAUAAGGGGUUUAAGUCUGUCACCGUAAUGACUAUGUCCAAUUUCACACACACAUCGAUUUAUUACACAAAUACUUUUACAAACGAUUAGAAGGAGAAAAGCAACAAGCAAGUACAGGUGGAUAGUUCACAGCAACAAUAGAAGAGAGUCCAGGCACAGAGGAAGAUAUACACUGUAUACACUAAGCACUAAAUAUAAUCUUAAUCGAUCGAGACAGGUGUAUCCAAGUAACUGACGGUCAGAGGUCCGCGGACGACUGGCGCGGGAAGCUGUGAUGGCGCACCUCGCGCUGUUCACACUACCACUUGCGAACUACGCAAUCACGUGUGUAAGUCACUACACGAGUAUUGAUGAUUUUAGGUGAAGGUCCUUUAAAGUUUUGAUAUUAUAUAGGGCACUAUUAGCUAACCCUGGUCGCUCGAAUAAAGCUCAAAUUUUAUGUUUGUUAAUUCUUUUAAAUCUUUUGAUGCCCAUGUUACCUCGUUAAAACGAAGCGCCGAGGGAGGUCUCUGUCGCGUAUCGGCCUGGUUUUGGAGCUUUCAAAAUUACAAUAAUUUCAAAGCUACCACCAUCUUCUGGAUACUGACGGCAGUCAUUUUCCCUAGUAGUAUCGGUCGAAGUAUCUGAGUCGGCACUUUCGACAUCUUGAUGUGAGUCGUCGGCUUUGCGCUUGCCCCCAAUGUUGAUACUCACGUAUAAAUAGUGGAUUUUUAUGACCGGUUCCAAAUUCCGGGUAAAAACAAUUUUUAAAAAUCGUCGGUCGGAAACACUAAUGGAACAUUUCAAAAUGGCCUGUUCUGAAUAAUUAAGUUUUAAAGAUUUUGAAAAUAUUCCAAUGUCAUUUUAUUUUAUCUAGAGACCAUUUAUUAAUAUUUUUUUAAUUGAAUUAUAUGCAGAUUAUAGCCAAGUGUAUUUAUUGUGUAUUACUAAGAUUCAAGAUAUAAUUUGUAAUUAAUGAGCUAUCAGUAUUUUUUUAAAAUGUUCCAAUAAUGAAUUAAAAUUUUCCUGAAAAUCUAAGGACUAUUUGGAAUAUUUCUAAAUAAGCCAGUAAUGAAAUUAAACAACCAAUCAAUUUAGAAACCUUAAUGGUUUAUUAAUAUUUAAAAAAAUAAAAGAAAUCAGUUAAAUCUUAUAAUAAUUAGGUGCGUCAAAUUAAUAAUUUUCGUUAUGCUCAUCGGGUUCAAUAUGAUUGUCUCCAGCCUCCAAACUUGAGUAAUAAUCUCGGUAUACUCUUGGAAUAACAUUUGAGUCGCAAAGCAAGCAAGUCUUUUUUCUUUAGGGUUGAUAUCUUUGGUUGCUGGUGGUACUUAUAUCGUAAAUUAAGUUCAACAUUUACACCACCUCUGCCUCUCAUUUUGUUGCGCACAUUUAAGCACUUCAUCGUUGCAUUUUGAUCAUAGGUGUCGUUAUAAAAAAUUAAGUAUGGAGAAGACGCUUGCAUGAAGAUUUUUUUGAUGUCAUUCCACACAACACGAUCACCGUCAUUAUUUACCGUGAAGUUUUUACCAAACUGCGUUACGAGGUCCUUUAGAUCGAGAAUAUCACUGAAGUUUAAUUCAUGUACUGCGUAUGGAGUUCCAGUCUUCUUGGCGCAUUGUAUUACCGAUUUCCGCUGUGUUGGUACAAAAAUUGAUCCAUUUUCAGUAUUUGUGUCUUCUCCCGUUCAAUUGUGCUAUGCGCGCUGUCACCUUCGUUCUGGGUGUGUCCAACAACUAAGUAUUUGUGUGUUAUUGACACAACACCCAAUACUUUAAUAGCAUAGUGGUAGAGACUUAGUAAAUAUUUAUUUUUAUUCUGUGCAGAACAAUUGUCAGUGUAGAAAAGAAAUUUUUUUCCAACACAGUGGUCUUUAAAAAAAUUGUAAAUGCACGUCCCAACUUCAUCGCAACCUGUUCCCCCUUGCGACAACUGCUUAGUCUUUCCCUUAAGAAAAAAAACAAAACACUAGUGUCUCAGUAAAAAAAUAUGUUACAAACAAAAAACACAAGCAGUUGAGCACACAAAUUUGUAGGGUGUGGUUGUACGGCCGAUCUGACUCUCCCUCUGUAGGUUACCCUCCUGAAUUCCGGCAGCCAACGGACGUGGCUUGACCCGCUGAAUCACCACGCCUGGACUCCUGGAGGUCUCCUGGGCUAGCUAGAUCACCAGGGUGCGGGUUACUGGGCGGAGAUGACUUUUUCAGCACAGACGCAGUUAUCGGGUGAAGCAAGAAGCAGGAAGCGUGAAAAAGCAGCAAGGCAUGAACCCUGGAAGCGAUAAGACCAAUUUCACAAACUUGUUUAUCUACCUUCCGAUCUGGUUGACCAACGAGAACUCGAGCAAGGUACCCACAUCUUGUGGCGAGAUUCAACCAGAAUAGUUAGUAUAGUAGUCAACCAGGACAGAGUAAAUGCACAAUAAAAAAUGAAAGCAAAAAAAACAAGUGAAGUAUAGCUGUGCAUGAUUAGCAAAAUAUAAAAAAAAAAGAAGUAAUGCGUUAAAAAAUAUAUAAUAUGCCAUUUCCAACUCACCCUAAAAGCGGGGUCGAAUCCGGUUAUUUUAAUAGCGUUAAUAUUAAGCACAGCACGAUAUGCUGUACUAAAUAAAAAAAAUUUAAAUAAAUUAUUUGUAGGUAAGUCGUCUGGUUUGAAAACGAACUUUAACUGAAUUCGAAUACAAACGUAAGACUAACAAGGAAGUCUAGUGACGACUGCCGGCGGCUGCGCAGUGUCUGCGCCAGCCGAACCUAUGUCUCGGGGGGAGGUGGGAACUAUUGUUCUCACCUCAGCGGUACAAUCGAUAAAAUAACUGCUUUUAACAUAAAUACUUUUGUUGGAACGAAGUUCCUUAUCGCGCGUUGUGAAAGGGGGCUAGACGGAAAAAAUUCUUACGAAAAGUUGUCACGACACUUUUUAGAUCCGUCAUUCUGACCAAUCAACGUGUAGGCGCUAAUCGCGUGACAUUGCUCGUAUCCGAUCGGUCCGCGUAAUGAGUACAGUUUCUCGAGAUAGCGUUUCAACAAUAGUAAUUUAGUUCAUAGUAUUGUUUUUUUUCUUCUUCAUAAUGCCGUAAUUUAUUAUUAUAACUAUAAAAAAAAAUUACAAUUCCUUCACUAAUUAAUCGAAAGGAACUUCGUUCCAUCCGGGUGUCCCUUGACACCUCUGAAGUUUUUUUAAGAUUUUUUUUUAUUUUGCAGACGAUUUCAGUUGUAACAUUACGUUAUACCCUAACGAUUCAUUCCAAAGGUAGCAAUACGCAGCUUUUGAUACAACGUCAUAUACGGUGCAGUGCAGUUGUACACAUUAAGUCUUCUUUUAUAAAAAAAGGGAGAAUCGUUCCCGCAUGGUGUCUGAAGAACUGCCUGCAUGUCAAAACAACAAAUUAUCUUAUUAGCAUUCCUGCAUGUUUCUAUGUCAGCUUUCUUUUCCGAUCUGCACAAAUCUCUUUCUUUUAAAUGUUUCUCAUAAUUGUGCAUCAGUUGUAACUUAUCAUCGCCAACAGCAUUUUGAUACGACAAACAAAUUGAACACUGAUCCUUCUUGGGCUUGUGAAAUGCAAUGUUAAACUCGUUUCGAAAAAUAUAUUCAUAGGUUCCAUGCUUGAUAAUAGAUUUACUAUUCUAAUGGCACCAUUCCUUAUACUGUCGGUACAUCAUAGUCAAGUUUAAGUCACCAUCCAGAUAAUCUUUUGUAGAGCUUGCCCGACAGUAAUGCGACUCUUUUCUCGGAUAAGAAUUUAUAUGUUCCCUUGCACCAUCUUUGUCCGCCUGUGUUAAACAUCUACCGAUAUUACCAUGACGUCCUCUAAGAUCUUCAGCUAUAACGCCCGUUGCUUCUGCUUUCUUUUUAUUCACUGCAGAUAAAAAAGAAUUUCCUAUGUCCAACGUUGACGUGAAGGAAGGAGUUAAUUGUAAAAUUGUAUGACACAUUUUUUUUAUUUAUUGCUUAGAUGAGUGGACGAGCUCACAGCCCACCUGAUUUUAAGUGGUUACUGGAGCCCAUAGACAUCUACAAUGUAAAUGCGCCACCCACCUUGAGAUAUAAGUUGUAAGGUCUCAAGUAUAGUUACAACGGCUGCCCCACCCUUCAAACCGAAACGCAUUACUGCUUCACGGCAGAAAUAAGCAGGGUGGUGGUACCUACCCGUGCGGACUCACAAGAGGUCCUACCACCAGUAAAAACACACAUUCAGGGAUCGCUUACUAUCUUCUUUGUGUAGCGAAUACUUUGGCUUAACAACUUCCAAACAAUUAGCAACAAAGUAGCGCUGUCUUUCGAGAUCACCAAUGCCCCAGAAAUCGUUGAAAAUGUUUAAUCUUUUUUCUUCAAUAAAAUUUUCAGUACACUUCAAUCGACAAUUGGUGGAACAUGGAGUUUUUAGUUUUUUAGCUGGUAUUUUGCGUCCUUUAAGGGUUUGAUAAGACUUUCUUGUGUUCGUCAAACUUUUUUUCACAUGUUUUUGCCAUUUUUCUGGCUGUCUCUUCCUCUUUCUCGAUCUUUUAUUAUUGUUAUUCAAAUCAGGUUGAUCUAGCUCUUGAUCCAAUUCACCACCUAUUAAACUUAGACACUUUUAAAUCAAUUUUUACAAAUCGUACUGUCAUAAAAAAAAAAAGAAGUUUUCAAAUAAUAAAAAUCACUAUGUUAGUACCCAAAUGUUCACAAUCCGUUAAAUUUGAAUCAUGUGGGCCUACAUUAUCCAAGUUAUUGUUUCUUUCCACUUCCACCACAGGUUGAUCUAGCUCUUGAUCCAGUUCACUACCUAUAAAACAUAAACAAACUUACAAAUCGUACUUGCUUAAAAAAUAUGUUAAGGAGUAGUUUUCAAAUAAUAAAUCACUAUGUUAGUAGCCGAAUCUUCGUCCGCACACGACCGAGUCGUGAGCGAGAAUGAAUUUUGCGCAAUAUUGUGAUAAAGCAGCUACAGAGGCCAAGUUGUUCAGGUGGUAGUGUUUUUUCCUUUCUUAAAUACCGCUCAAAUCUAUUUUUAAUUAAAUGUUCGGCUGUUUUCUUAGAAUUAUGGAUCUCUGUGAAUUAAGGUCAUUAGGGCCUUUGCAGGGUUCUUGUUCUUUACAUGUGCUAGGAACAGACCCCAAAACAGUACAUAUAAUACAGUAUAUACAGAGCUAUAGUGAAUAACACCAUGCUGAGUGAGACCACCAAACCGUUACCAUUACCUUUUUAUUGGUAAGCUUUGCUUUAGGACACUGUUGUGGCGUUCGACCUGGGGUCAGCCAUUGCAUUUUUCGCUUACGGUUAUCGUAAAGAAUCCACUUUUCAUCACAUGUCACAAUUCGAUCCAAUAUUCCUUCAUUUCUAUAUCGAUUCAACAAGGUAAUACAAGUUUCAACACGCGUUUCUUUCUCUAGACCAGUCAAAUCAUGAGGUUUAUUUUAUUUUAUUGAUUUGACGCAAAUGAGUCAAUAUUGUUGGUAAGGUAAUGUUAAACCAUGCCGCUAAUUCCUGGGUAGUUUGGCUCGAAUCGCCUUCCACCAUCUCUUUCAAUUCAUUAUUAUUCCACGUGCUUUCAUUCUUCAAAUCGAAAUUUCCAUCACGAAAGCGUUUAAACCAAAAUCGCACGGUGCGUUCAUUAGCAGUCCCCUCUCCAAACGCAAAAUUGGUAUUCCAAGUCGGCACUCGUAUUAUAAAAUCACUCCAAUUUUCGAAGUAUCCAUCUUUCUUAUCUAAGCUGAAUAAAAAAACAACUAAAAGUCGAUAAAUCAAUGUUGCGCAUUUUUUAAAAGAAGAACCUCAGAAGAGGUACCAUUUGAUAAAAGAUUCAUUCAAAAAUCUCAAACGAUGAAUGUUCUAUGUCAAUUCGAAGUACCUAUCUAUAUAUUAAUACGUGAAGCAAAAACUUUGUAUCCUUUUUUACGAAAAUUGCGCGGUCAGAGGAGUAUGAAAUUUCCCACUUAUAGAGAAGAAGUGCACAAUGCUAAUAUUUUUUUAAAAUAAUGCAUAAAAGAUACUUUAAAUCCAUAAAGAAAACAUCACACACACUACAUACCAUGUAUUUGACGCACACACGCAUGUAUACUAUUUAUUGCCAAACUUUUAUUCUUGACGUCUGUUGUCAAAUUGAGAAUAGAUUAAAUAUUGUUUGUCUUUGUUAAUAUUUUUUAUAGUGUAGUCUUGGCGAAAUUUGUGAUUAUAGAAGUAUAAAAUACAAUCAUAAUAGUGUACAAACUUACAAUUCCAAUUAAUUAUAGUCGAAUUUCGACUACUGCGGGACCUCUAGUUACAAUAAAUCUUCAAUUUCAUACUUAACCCCUAUUAUAAACUAAAUUAAAAUAACGAAAAGACAGUAAAUAAAAACAACAAAAUAGUCCAAAGGAAAAGGAAAAAAAGUAGUGACCCACGUAUCUCCAGGAGGACCACCCUUCGACAUGUGGAGGAGAACUUGGAUCCCCCGGUGCUGGUUUUGGUCCACGUCGUUCGGCCUCUCUCGUUGUGUUGCAACGCGAGACCACACGAUUUCCCUGGGAGUAGUGCCCAGAAGCCCGUCAUCCGCACCUACGGACCCACCCGGUCGAAGUCCAGCAACUCCCGCGGGAUACGAGGGACGCCUGUAAUCUGAAAUUUGUAAAAAGGGAUUCAAACUUGCCAGUUUAUUUGUGUUAGUUCUUCUUUUCAGGAUACUGGCGAUUUCUUUAGGAAACGAGCAAACUUGAUGCUGCCGAAAGUAAAACAAUAUCGGAUGACCAUUUCACGCUAUAAUCGAACUUGCGAAACGCGAAAUAUCUCUCCAUAUGAUAUUCGUGACAAUUUUUCUACUUCACGCACUUACUACAUUACUAUGCAGGAGCAUUUCCAUAGCAAUCAAGUUAUGCAUAAGAGUUUUUUAAUAAAUAAAUAAUAUUAAA